This 1349-nucleotide long non-coding RNA is filed under the name Marmota monax (woodchuck). The record is from RNAcentral. Lineage: Eukaryota; Metazoa; Chordata; Mammalia; Rodentia; Sciuridae.
UCAAUCCCUGGGCCUGCCUGUGGUUGUUGGUCAGAGUAUACAUUGCAUCCUGCCUCUGGUUGGGGAUGAUGAAUUAUCUGCGAAUCAGUAGGCAUAAAUAUAUUGCAGAGAAAUGAGUUCCUUUGUCAGCCCUUCAGAGCAACUAGAGAAUCUGCUUCUGAGAGGAUUGCCCCUGAGAUGCUUCGAGGGCAGCAGCAGUCUGCUUCCAGGUAAUGCUGGCUCUCUGGGAGAAACCAAAUACAGGGUUGGUUCUUAAACUUGAACUUUGAUUUCACCUGGAAGGCUUAUUAAAACACAGCUGCUGAACUCCAUCCCCAGAAUUUCUGAUUCAGUAGGAAUUUGCAUUUCUAACCAGUAUCCAGGUGCUCUUGAUGCUGCUGGUCCAGGAAUCACACUUUGAAAACUGCUGUUUUAGGGUGCCAGCUUGAAUUGGAUCUUAUGUGGUCAGGCAGAAGUGAGGUUUUGUAUUGUUGGUAGUUUCAAACCAAGAAAAUUUUCUAGAUUAUCUGCCAGUUGUGUUCCUGGGAACCCCUCAAUUCAUAAGCCCCAAACAGAAGUCUUCCUGUGUUCUGUCCCUCCUGGCACCUGGAUUGCCAUCCUCCCUUAUGUGCUGAUUGUGAUGUCCACAUUCUUUUCUGUAAUUAGCUGCUCCACUUGUGUCUAGCACCAGCUCCUCUCAUGCUGUUUGUAUGUAGUGAUACCUUUUUCAACACUUCUCCCAUUCUAAAAGGACUAACUGCCACUUGGCAUCAGUCUCUUCAUGUUUUCUAACCCAAAUUCCCAAGACUGGCGAUCUGAUUAGCUGGCCAAGUUAUCUUUUUGUAACAAGGGUCGGUAGCUAGUCUAUGAAUUUUUAGCCUUUGGGUUGUGAGUCCAUCUUAAGUUCUGUUGGCUGUGGCCAGUUGAAGGGCAGACUAAUAUGGUAAAUAACAUGACUGCCUAGGCAGUAAAGGCUAGGAGUAGAGUAAUGGGACAGAAAACCUGGAAUCUGGUAGAUGGUGAUGAACGUUUUGAGUACUGUGUAUUGAUUGAAUGGCAGGUUUGCUUUUUUAGACAUAACCCACCAUAUUGGUUAUUUUUAAUACUACUAGUAAUAUUUAAUAUAAUAUUAAAUUUGAUAAUAUGUAUUGGUAAUUAAUGAGCUGGACUGAUACUUAGUUUUAGUAAAUAGCAAUUUCUUUGAGCCCCUUGACCACCUCCCCUCACCCCAACUAACCUGAUUCAUUCCAGGACUCCUUAGAUCUUCUGAAUACUGCAACUAAAGGCUUCUGCUCCAGGCCUAAAGUUAGCCUCUAUUUUGGUUCACUGAUGUCUGUGCCAUACUGAUUGUUAAAUAUUUUGAAAGUCAC